AUUAACACCUUCAUUUAGAGUAGUUCUGCACCUUGGAGUAUUGAAAGGGUUAUUGCAUUUCUAAAGUAAGCUUACAUCCAGAAAGUUGCGUUAGUGACAAAGGAACUCAAGAAUUGCAUGAUAAAAAUCAUCAAGUAGUUUAAAAAUGUUUCAUGCCAGGGUGCACUCAACACCCUGACACCGGGCAGAGUGGUAGUGAAGCCCGCCAGGCUGCAGGAUAACACUGCUUACCUUCUUUACAGUUGCAACUGUCAGCUUUUCUUCUUGACACAGUGCUAUUCUUGUUGUCUUGACUAUAUCUGAGGACAGACUCUAAGUAAAGGAUUUCUGGAAUUCCACAGAUUCUGGUAAAGAGCUCUUCUUGGGGCCUUGGCAGUUGGAUGACAGCAUCCUAGGAGGCUCGCACGGGGCCGAGCUCACCAGCCCCUUGGAUAAUCGGGUAGGGGCCAG
RNAcentral lists this long non-coding RNA (450 nucleotides) under Bos taurus (domestic cattle). RNAcentral's name for it is "long non-coding RNA NONBTAT025291". The record is from RNAcentral. Lineage: Eukaryota; Metazoa; Chordata; Mammalia; Artiodactyla; Bovidae.